GUCUGGUCGUUUUCUUUUCUUUUUUGUGUGGGCAGGUUGGGGGUUAGAGUGGGAAGAGAGAGAGUGGUGAGUGUAUCUUGGGCACGCGGCGGCGGAGGCUGGAUUUGGAUUGAGCUGGCGCGGCGGCGGGCAGGCGAACAAGGGAGCGCGGUGUAGUUGAGGUUGGGACUGGAAGGAGGGGCAUCCCGUGGUAGGCGGGUCCUCGUCGUCGAGGUAGGCGACGCGACUCCUCAUCGUCGCGACAGUUCGCGGUGGCAUGUCCUCGUCGUCGCGGCAGUUCGCGGUGGUCUGUCCUCGUCGUCUUGGCAGGUGGUCAUUCCUCUUCGUUCCGGCAGCCGGCGGCUCCUAGGUCGCGACCAAAAGGAGGUGGACACCGGAGACAAGGCCGACUAAAGGAAGGGAGACGGGCCGGACUCCACCACCCCCGUUCACUUCUUAAAUGUAGCCAAGACAAUGUCCUUGUCUCCUACCAGGAGGAUUCGACGAAUUACUACCAACGAUUACUGCUACUAAAUAUAAAGCUACUACUACUGCCACUACUCGGUAACUACGAGCUCCUACUUCGUCCCAAUCGGCUCCAGGAGCUUCGGACAGAGACUGCGACUACCCACCUGGCGAGACGACGGAUCCGUACUAGUCGGACCCUUCAUCAUAAUUCCUGUACUCUUCGUUAUGAACCGCGACAAACCAGACUUCCAUCUCAACCUUAGGGAGAUCGGGUCGAGAUCCGUCCUCCAGCCAACCUUAACCUAGUCAUAGUCCUAAUCCUUCGUUGGUUCAGUGGGAAAACUAGUUGAUUUUAUCAUUGUUGUCAGUUACCACUGAACACUGGUACUCCAGUGCACAAGUUCAGGACCUUUCUCGGAGAACAUCUUUACAUCCCUUUCCGACGCAUGUUAUCUGGGUUUCGCCAGCCUGGGAAGGGGCCUGGGACGCGUUCACCUCAAUGUACGUGGCCCGACGGGAAAACUGCGAACGUCUGGUACACUACAACGAACGAAUAUAUAGUUGUUCGUGUGCCGAGGCACCCGCUCCUCCUAUUGACCCUGGGGUUGGGGUUCAGCUGCUGGGAC
RNAcentral lists this ribosomal RNA (1073 nucleotides) under Triticum aestivum (bread wheat). RNAcentral's name for it is "partial small subunit ribosomal RNA". Lineage: Eukaryota; Viridiplantae; Streptophyta; Magnoliopsida; Poales; Poaceae. The record is from RNAcentral.